UACGUAGGGUGCGAGCGUUGUCCGUAAUUACUGGGCGUAAAGAGCUCGUAGGUGGUUUGUCACGUCGUCUGUGAAAUUCCGGGGCUUAACCUCGGGCGUGCAGGCGAUACGGGCAAUACUUGAGUGCUGUAGGGGAGACUGGAAUUCCUGGUGUAGCGGUGAAAUGCGCAGAUAUCAGGAGGAGCACCAAUGGCGAAGGCAGGUCUCUGGGCAGUUACUGACGCUGAGGAGCGAAAGCAUGGGUAGCGAACAGGAUUA
RNAcentral lists this ribosomal RNA (258 nucleotides) under uncultured prokaryote. RNAcentral describes it as "partial 16S ribosomal RNA". It matches the Rfam family "Bacterial small subunit ribosomal RNA", at positions 524 to 780 of the family's 1533-position model. The record is from RNAcentral.